This 639-nucleotide ribosomal RNA is filed under the name Xiphinema rivesi. RNAcentral describes it as "SSU rRNA". It matches the Rfam family "Eukaryotic small subunit ribosomal RNA", at positions 1003 to 1664 of the family's 1831-position model. The record is from RNAcentral. Lineage: Eukaryota; Metazoa; Nematoda; Enoplea; Dorylaimida; Longidoridae. RNAcentral also lists the same sequence under 3 other names.
GGCGAUCAGAUACCGCCCUAGUUCUAACCGUAAACGAUGACAACCAGCGAUUAGUCGGUGUUAAUAUACGACCCGACUAGCAGCUUCCGGGAAACCAAAGUUUUUCGUUUCCGGGGGAAGUAUGGUUGCAAAGCUGAAACUUAAAGGAAUUGACGGAAGGGCACCACCAGGAGUGGAGCCUGCGGCUUAAUUUGACUCAACACGGGAAAACUCACCCGGCCCGGACACCGUAAGGAUUGACAGACUGAGAGCUCUUUCUUAAUUCGGUGGGUGGUGGUGCAUGGCCGUUCUUAGUUGGUGGAGCGAUUUGUCUGGUUAAUUCCGAUAACGAACGAGACUCUGGCCUAUUAAAUAGUCGGUAUAUCCAGAAAAGUUUACCGUACUUCUUAGAGGGACAAACGGCGUCUAGCCGCGUGAAAUAGAGCAAUAACAGGUCUGUGAUGCCCUUAGAUGUCCGGGGCUGCACGCGCGCUACACUGAAAGAAUCAGUAUGCGCUUUAACCUAGUCCGGAAGGAUUGGGUAACCCGAGCAAAUUCUUUCGUGCUUGGGAUAGGGAAUUGCAAUUAUUUCCCUUAAACGAGGAAUUCCCAGUAAAUGCGGGUCAUAAGCUCGCGUUGAUUACGUCCCUGCCCUUUGUA